UGGGGGAUAUUGCACAAUGGAGGAAACUCUGAUGCAGCGACGCCGCGUGAGGGAAGAAGGUUUUCGGAUUGUAAACCUCUGUCUUCGGGGACGAUAAUGACGGUACCCGAGGAGGAAGCCACGGCUAACUACGUGCCAGCAGCCGCGGUAAUACGUAGGUGGCAAGCGUUGUCCGGAAUUACUGGGUGUAAAGGGAGUGUAGGCGGGGUUUUAAGUUGAAUGUUAAAUCUAUCGGCUCAACCGGUAGUCGCGUUCAAAACUGAAACUCUUGAGUGAAGUAGAGGCAAGCGGAAUUCCUAGUGUAGCGGUAAAAUGCGCAGAUAUUAGGAGGAACACCAGUGGCGAAGGCGGCUUGCUGGGCUUUUACUGACGCUGAGGCUCGAAAGCGUGGGGAGCAAACA
RNAcentral lists this ribosomal RNA (401 nucleotides) under uncultured Acetanaerobacterium sp. RNAcentral's name for it is "partial 16S ribosomal RNA". It matches the Rfam family "Bacterial small subunit ribosomal RNA", at positions 355 to 774 of the family's 1533-position model. The record is from RNAcentral. Lineage: Bacteria; Bacillati; Bacillota; Clostridia; Eubacteriales; Oscillospiraceae.